This 998-nucleotide ribosomal RNA is filed under the name uncultured bacterium. RNAcentral's name for it is "bacterial SSU rRNA". It matches the Rfam family "Bacterial small subunit ribosomal RNA", at positions 505 to 1501 of the family's 1533-position model. The record is from RNAcentral.
GUGCCAGCCGCCGCGGUAAUACGGAGGAUGCAAGCGUUAUCCGGAAUGAUUGGGCGUAAAGCGUCCGCAGGUGGCGAUGUAAGUCUGCUGUUAAAGAGUGAGGCUCAACCUCAUAAGAGCAGUGGAAACUACAUAGCUAGAGUACGUUCGGGGCAGAGGGAAUUCCUGGUGUAGCGGUGAAAUGCGUAGAGAUCAGGAAGAACACCAGUGGCGAAGGCGCUCUGCUAGGCCGUAACUGACACUGAGGGACGAAAGCUAGGGGAGCGAAUGGGAUUAGAUACCCCAGUAGUCCUAGCCGUAAACGAUGGAUACUAGGCGUGGCUUGUAUCGACCCGAGCCGUGCCGUAGCUAACGCGUUAAGUAUCCCGCCUGGGGAGUACGCCGGCAACGGUGAAACUCAAAGGAAUCGACGGGGGCCCGCACAAGCGGUGGAGUAUGUGGUUUAAUUCGAUGCAACGCGAAGAACCUUACCAAGGCUUGACAUGUCGCGAAUCUUCUUGAAAGGGAAGAGUGCCUUCGGGAGCGCGAACACAGGUGGUGCAUGGCUGUCGUCAGCUCGUGUCGUGAGAUGUUGGGUUAAGUCCCGCAACGAGCGCAACCCUCGUUUUUAGUUGCCAGCAUUAAGUUGGGCACUCUAGAGAGACUGCCGGUGACAAACCGGAGGAAGGUGGGGAUGACGUCAAGUCAGCAUGCCCCUUACGCCUUGGGCUACACACGUACUACAAUGCUCCGGACAGAGGGCAGCAAGCAUGCGAAUGCAAGCAAAUCCCGUAAACCGGAGCUCAGUUCAGAUCGCAGGCUGCAACUCGCCUGCGUGAAGGAGGAAUCGCUAGUAAUUGCAGGUCAGCAUACUGCAGUGAAUUCGUUCCCGGGCCUUGUACACACCGCCCGUCACACCAUGGAAGCUGGUAGUGCCCGAAGUCAUUACUCCAACCUUUCGGGGGGGAGGAUGCCUAAGGCAGGACUGGUGACUGGGGUGAAGUCGUAACAAGGUAACC